GACCGGACAGUGAUCAGCAGGGCAGGGGGAGCCACAAGCUAUGCCUCCUGCCACCCCAUCCGCCCAGCUCUAUGCAUGAGCCUAGAGAAGCUCAAGGUCAGCCCAUCUCAAGCUUUCAUCUCUCUGAUGACACUGUGGGUAUCAAGAAUCUCCCUGACAAAUGGAAACAGAGCUAUUGUUGCCAGUAGCUGAUGGAAUUGGAAAAAUGGAAGCCAAAGUAUCCAUCUCACUCUCUGGCCAGGUGCUAGGAGCCAGGUUUGAAGACAGAGAGGCGGAAUAGUCCCCAAGGAUAUCCUAAUACAUCCUAUACAUCCUAAUCUCUCCUUCAAGCCUGUGCUGUGAAUAUAUUCCUUUAUGUGGCUAA
Long non-coding RNA from Dipodomys spectabilis (banner-tailed kangaroo rat), 364 nucleotides. RefSeq lists it as uncharacterized. The transcript has 2 exons. The record is from RefSeq and is a predicted model, not a curated record. Lineage: Eukaryota; Metazoa; Chordata; Mammalia; Rodentia; Heteromyidae.